AUUGAAAUGUUUGUUCUCAGGAAAUUGGUCUCUAGAGUUAAUGAAGAGAGCAGAAGAUGUUGCACGAAGAUAUGAACUUGACAUGGCUACAAUUCCUGUUGAUCGAGCAUGUUUUAAUUCCUUAGGGGAUGUUGACAUGGGAAGUAAUGAGUUGCUAAAAGCAGCAUCUCGAGAGAAUUCUGAUGACAAUUAUUUAUACUAUCCAAGGGCCAUCAAUAUCAAAGAGGAGGAUUUGAAGCAUUUUCAAUACCAUUGGAUGAGAGCUGAACCUGUGGUAGUUAGUAAUGUUCUUGAAACUGGAACUGGCUUAAGUUGGGAGCCAACGGUCAUGUGGCGUGCCUUCCGCCAGAUAAGAAAUGAAAAAC
RNAcentral lists this unclassified non-coding RNA (365 nucleotides) under Hevea brasiliensis (rubber tree). The record is from RNAcentral. Lineage: Eukaryota; Viridiplantae; Streptophyta; Magnoliopsida; Malpighiales; Euphorbiaceae.